RNAcentral lists this long non-coding RNA (1638 nucleotides) under Gallus gallus (chicken). Its description in RNAcentral is "long non-coding RNA NONGGAT011865". The record is from RNAcentral. Lineage: Eukaryota; Metazoa; Chordata; Aves; Galliformes; Phasianidae.
CUGGGCUGGGACGAGGAAGCAGGGUAUCAGCCUGUGCCCUUCCUUCACUCCGCACCCCUGCGUAGAGCGGUGCAGGCCGGUAGGGUGAGGCACAGGCCGGCCCUCGCCCUCUUCCCGCCCUCUCAGUGCGUGCAACCCGCUGGGGAUGCGCUCGGUGCCCGCGACGUCUCCGUGUGGCGCGCGGUCCCCGUGCCUCUGCCCUCAGGGCCGCUGCGAUGCCCCCGGCACCGGCACACACGAGGCAAAGCGUGCAGACAGCACGACCUUGGCGGGAGGAGCCCGGGAUGGGGUGACCGGAGUGUGAUCACAGCCUCUCCUCCCCGGCGCUCCCCGUGCCACGCCCCGAGGCAGAUAGCAGCUCGGAGCCUCCGGGCAGGGCCCGACCCGCACCAGAGCCGCUUUCGCGGCGCAGAGCUGGGCUGAGGCAGCGCAGCGCGCGGCGCGUUUCCCCGCUGCCCGGUAGGGGGUGCUGCUGGGCCGCCUUUUGGCGGGGCGCGGGGUGUCGCGCGGGCGGGGCUGGGCGCUUCUCACCUUGGCGCCCGUUUGUGAGGGAGCUCCGCCGGUGCCUGCUCGGCUGCUGUCAGUGUGCCUUCGGCCUCGUGUUGAGCUUUGUGCUUAGGAACGGGGAAACCUCGCUCAGAUGCUCAAUGCCGUCCUUCUCCCUUGCCCCUGAACUACAGCUCAGAGCUAACAAAACUGUAUUCCUGGAUGAAAUUUUAACAGAUCCCCAGCAUAAAGUUUCAGCUCGGGGCAAUGUGGAGGUGCCGCAGAUAAACAAGAAGAACAAUUCUGCGUAUUGAACUCUCAAACGAAAGUUUACUUUCCCUCUUCUCCCUGUCUACCUGUGCUCUGGUAAGACACUAUUUCUUCACAGUGGAAAUCAUCAUAGGACAGGAGAACUAUUUCUUUCAUUAUGAUGGAAACUGGAAGAAUACUUUUGCUACUUGGUGACAGGUUGAUUGAGCUGUCAAGAUAAGGAUAACAGGAUGUAUUUUUAUGUAUCAUCGUGUGACACCUCUUCCAACAUCUCAGCAUAGCUGUGUACUCAUGACUAGACAGGCAAACAUCCUGAGGAAGGAAUACCUCCACUGUCAGUUUCUGGCAUUCAGUGUUUUGCAGUCAGCUAUGGCAAUAGCCUACGGUGUUAGACCUGUGAUGUUUUGGGAAUGUAUACUCAGCUUUCAGUUUACACUAGUUACGCAUACUGCCCCGUGAGUACCAAGGCUGCUCCACAGACAAGCUUCAGUUUUCCUCCGGGUGCCAAAGCUAGUGAGGGAUUGGCAGGGGUCCAGUAAGAAAUUCAGGAUGAGAAUCAUCAGCGACCAUCUACUACUGUUUUUCUUUUUGAUGAAUCAUUUAAUCAUCUUGUUUGGUUCCAUUUUAUAGAGGCAACAAACACUGCUUCAGUGGCAAGAAAAAGGAGCAGAACAGAACUGAACAUUUCCGUGCUUUCAGAAGGAAGAAAAAAAGUCAGGAGUUUAUCUUUCAAGGAUGACUGCUCUUCAAGUACACCAGGUGGGAUCCAAUCAUGCGCUGCAUCUGAAGUGCACUUGAGAUAAAUUCAGGAUAGGUUCAUGCUUGGCCUCAGCUCUCACCAGAUCUGUAAGUAUUUAGCUAAAGUCAGAGUUUAGAUACAUC